GACGAACGCUGGCGGCGUGCCUAAUACAUGCAAGUCGAACGCACUCUCGUUUAGAUUGAAGGAGUUUGCUCCUGAUUGAUAAACAUUUGAGUGAGUGGCGGACGGGUGAGUAACACGUGGGUAACCUGCCCUAAAGUGGGGGAUAACAUUUGGAAACAGAUGCUAAUACCGCAUAAAACCUAACACCGCAUGGUGUAGGGUUGAAAGAUGGUUUCGGCUAUCACUUUAGGGUGGACCCGCGGUGCAUUAGUUAGUUGGUGAGGUAAAGGCUCACCAAGACCGUGAUGCAUAGCCGACCUGAGAGGGUAAUCGGCCACACUGGGACUGAGACACGGCCCAGACUCCUACGGGAGGCAGCAGUAGGGAAUCUUCCACAAUGGACGAAAGUCUGAUGGAGCAACGCCGCGUGAGUGAAGAAGGUUUUCGGAUCGUAAAACUCUGUUGUUGGAGAAGAAUGUAUCUGAUAGUAACUGAUCAGGUAGUGACGGUAUCCAACCAGAAAGCCACGGCUAACUACGUG
RNAcentral lists this ribosomal RNA (520 nucleotides) under uncultured bacterium. Its description in RNAcentral is "partial 16S ribosomal RNA". It matches the Rfam family "Bacterial small subunit ribosomal RNA", at positions 28 to 507 of the family's 1533-position model. The record is from RNAcentral.